This 21-nucleotide non-coding RNA is filed under the name Caenorhabditis elegans. Lineage: Eukaryota; Metazoa; Nematoda; Chromadorea; Rhabditida; Rhabditidae. The record is from RNAcentral.
UACCAAAAAAUUAUUCAACUC